Molecule: RNA transcript, 2582 nt
Organism: Toxorhynchites rutilus septentrionalis
Lineage: Eukaryota; Metazoa; Arthropoda; Insecta; Diptera; Culicidae
Gene: Nt5a
Gene name: 5'-nucleotidase domain-containing protein 1
Exons: 2
Source: RefSeq, a predicted model, not a curated record
AUGCGACGCUUGACUAUGGCGGCGAAUACAGCAGCAUCAGUAUUGUUACAGCUAGGAUUCAGUGCGUUGCCCGAGACGUGUUUUGGUGCUAUCCGUUUUGAAAGUACAUUGCGACCUGUGCUUUAUCAUUGUGGUUUAGGUAUCCGAACGUUUUCAGCUAAAGCCAACCAUCCGCAUUCUGUCCGACAGUGGACACGGUGCUAUUCUCGGUAUUCGGCUAAUAGAAUAAUGACUGGAGCGGACACAUUCCGAUUCGCAGAUUAUGACUGUGUUGGAUUUGAUUUAGAUAACACUCUGCUUCGUUAUCAGAUUGGUAAUAUGAUGGAACUAGAGUACGAGAUUAUGUCUAAAUUUCUGGUGGAACAGCGAGGGUACUCUGGCAAGUAUCUGCUGCAGGCACCGGACAUUGAUUUUUUGCAGAAAGGAUUAAUCAUCGAUUUCGAGCGUGGGAAUGUCCUUAAAGUUGGUCCGGAUGGCACGAUUCAUCAGGCCACACAUGGUACCCAGAAAAUGGUCGAAUCGGAAAUAAUUGCCUAUUACGGGGACGAGAAGAAGUGGGAGGUCACGACAGAGUACUGUGAAAAUAUGCUGGUAGCAUGGAAUGGUCCAUUGUCGGAGAAGAUGCGUACGGUGCUAGAUUACUUCGAUAUUUGCGCAACGCUCUUGUUCGGAAGAAUCAUUGAUACCUUGGAUGAAGAUUCCCAUGAACGGAUAGGGCGCUACAAUAUAUGGCCGGACGUGCUCGAUGCGCUCGUGUACAUGUACUCCCGGGAACAUUUCGGUCUAGGCGUGGGAGGUUAUUUCCAAUCACUAACAGAACAGCCUGAGAAGUAUCUCCAGAAAGCUUCUCCCAAAGUAGUUUCCUGGCUGCGGGAGUUGAAAAAGACGAAAACAACGUUUCUCGUUACAGGCUCGCAUAUAGAUUUCGCGAAUUUCACCGCUUCCUAUGCGUUAGGCCCAGAUUGGUCCGAACUGUUUGACGUUGUUGUUGGAUAUGCGAAAAAGCCUGGCUUCUUCACCGGUGCCAAGCCUUUUGUUGGACUGCAGAAUGCUGUCGAAACUGAUCCGCUCACUCCAUCGCAAUUAGAACGCAACGGCAUCUACUCGCAGGGUAAUUGGCGAGAUCUAACGGUACUCCUGGAGAGGCUUUCGCACAAAACCAAACCUCGCUAUCUCUACAUUGGUGACAAUCUCAUCCAGGACGUUUACACUCCUUCAAAGUUCACCAAAGCGGACACUAUCGCAAUAGUAGAGGAAAUGUCGGCAGAAGGAAUGAAGAAUCAUCCCCACAAUACCCAUCCCGAUGGGCGGUACCUACAGUCUAGCUUUUGGGGAUCGUACUUUUCGGCUAGUUCGAAUCCACGCUCGGAAGAGCCAUCGCUCUGGGCCGACAUCAUCAAGCGCCAUGCUCGAAUUUGUGUGCCAAACAUGGACGAAGUUGCACAGUAUCCGAUCGAUUACAACUACAACAGUUUUACGGAAAGCGUGACUUGCUCCGAUGGUUACUAUCCCGCCGAACCGAUGACGCUGGUCAAUUGAACGCUAGAAUCUGGUAGGCCCCCGAUCUAGAUAAGUUUUCUUGCACUCGUCUCGAUAGAAAACGUUGGGACGCUUAAUCACAUGAUGCACAAACCAAACUAAAAAAUGUCAGACAACUCGCACCCUUCAACAGAGAACAUCCACCAUCAGUGAAGCUGCAUCCCAUUAAUCCCGAAGAAAUGCCGUACAUUGGUCAAUGAAUUACUGGCGCGAGCACCUAUAUACACGAAUGAAUUCGAAGUCGGCGGAAGCCUCGUGUUUAUUAACAGACCGUGGUUCCAGUGGCUAGCGAACUGAAUGGGACAAAAGUAGCCCCCGCGUACAGACACGAGCAUCUGUUGCUCUGUGCCACAAUACGAUUUAACACGAUUGAAGUAUUCAUCGCCCCUGAACGAUAAAAGUAAUAAUUUAAGCGGUCCGCGUUAACAUACAGUGAACAGUGGGCAAACUCAGUGCCAGUGGGUGAGCUGAGAUUAAAUUGCAUUACAAUUUUGCGACUGUUCCAUGGUUGGUUUGCUGUGCUCUUGUUUUGUCUAGCGACUGUUCAUAAUCUGUUUAGUUUAUUUAAUAACUCAAACGACGCAUUUGGCUAUGGAAAGUUACAGAACGAAAAAUGUGUUGCAUUCCUCCGUUUCACUUCUGGUCAGAUGCUUGCGACAAUAAAUUGAUAUCCAAUAACUCAAGUAAAGAAUUGAAAGUCAGAUAGUUUGAUUUCUCACAUUAACAGUUAUUUGUUACAUGUUUCCUUUAUUUCCUAGAAAUAUUAAUAGAGAACCAUAGAGCGUAAAAGGUGGCUUCCAAAAAGCUUCUAUAUAGAAAUGUUAUGUAAAUAUGUAAACAAGCUCACCAGAACAAUAUAUAUCUUUGUGUAGAUGCUGACGAAUUUUCUAUCGAAACUAGAAGCAAAUAAUUGUCACAAAUAGUAGCAAUAAUAAUUUAAAAGCAUUCACUCGCAAUCUUUUAAUGAUGUUUCAUUAAUCUCAACGGUAGCCAAUGUUUUAUAUUCAACGUUGUAAUGUUCAAUAAAUGCCGGGAAUUUAUCA